This 309-nucleotide long non-coding RNA is filed under the name Fukomys damarensis (Damara mole-rat). Its description in RNAcentral is "lncRNA (ENSFDAG00000022058.1)". Lineage: Eukaryota; Metazoa; Chordata; Mammalia; Rodentia; Bathyergidae. The record is from RNAcentral.
UGGGAAACAGUGCUUGAAGAUGCAGUUCAAAUAGGAGCCAUUAAAUACAUAAAAAGAUUCAUCUUGUCCACCCUACAUGUGGAAAAUGUGGCUGGCUCAGGCAAGCACAGCAUGGGCUGGCUUCUCCGACCCUCCAGAGUGGCAUGGUUCUUCAGACUCACUUUCCAGGUACUGCAAUGAAUGGCUCCUCGCUGAUCUUUCCAAAUUGACAAUAGUGGCUGCAAACAAAGAAGUCGAUGUGUUCCCAGAGUUGGGAACCUUCAAUCUACACAAUAGAAACAACAAAAGUAAAGUAACUUUAAGUUGCCU